GGUGGCUCAGUGGUAGAGUGCUUGCCUUGCAUGCAUGAAGCCCUGGGUUCAAUUCCUAAGCACCA
RNAcentral lists this transfer RNA (65 nucleotides) under Dipodomys ordii (Ord's kangaroo rat). It matches the Rfam family "tRNA". From Rfam's summary of the family: Transfer RNA (tRNA) molecules are approximately 80 nucleotides in length. Their secondary structure includes four short double-helical elements and three loops (D, anti-codon, and T loops). Lineage: Eukaryota; Metazoa; Chordata; Mammalia; Rodentia; Heteromyidae. The record is from Rfam by way of RNAcentral.